GGGCUGCGCGCGCCGAGAGCGCCGGCGGUCCGCCUGCGGGCGCUGACGAUGGCCGGCUGACUCGUGCGGGAGCCCGCGCCUGGGCGCGAUGAUGCUCCUGAGGGGCGCCUGGACGCGGCGCCCGCGGUUGCUGCCGACCCCCGGACCCCGGGGCCGAGCGCCUCCGCGGCCGCUAACGCCGCUGCCUCAGAACCGUUGCUUGGAGGAGAGGGAAGAGUGGAUGUGUCCUAGAAAGACAGAUAGGGGGAAAAUGCUGCGUGCAACUCGGAUUGGGAUGGAGCCUGACAGGAGCCCUCACUGAGCCUGAGGAGGAAAGACAGCCCAUUAAAAAGAGCCUUCCAGGUGCGUGUGGUUGGGCAGCGCGCGUUGCUUCUGAGUUUUAAUUCUCAGCCCCCCUCCCCCCAUUAGUUUCAGAUCGUUAAAGAGAAAAAUAUGUUUAGCUGUGCAGUUUGCAAGAAAAACAGAGAAGCCAGGCCAUUAUCUUGUCACUUUCACUUCCUGUUUUUUUUUUUACCCCCUCCAGCUAUUUCAGGGCUUCACAGUUUUGAAUGCUGGAGGAAAUAUUUAAAUACAUAUUUAAAAUUCCUUCCCUGAGUGUUUGAGAGAGAAUGAGGAAGGGCAUUUUGUUACUAACAUCUAGGAAAAGGGGCCAGCUCCUUAAAAUGAUAGAUUUAGCAGUAAAUUGGAGAGAGGGGUUUCCACUUUGUGAAAUUGUACUUUAUUAGAAAGUGUUGCGCUUCAUGGUUAAAAAUAUACCCAACAGUGAAACAGCCCAGUAGGAGGAACCCCCUUCACUAUACCACCAUUUAAACGUAAAUGAUUAAUUCAGUUUUCUAUUAAGGCUAUCUAACCAAAUGUUAGAUGGAGUAGAAUUGUUACAGAGCCCAAGACUCGCUGCCCUUUCUCAAAUGAUCAUCUCUAAGCUCCUCUGUCUACAUUUCCCACCUGUUGCUAGUCUCACCUGGUGCCACUGCAUGCCCCAGCAGGAAUAUGGAUGCCCUUUAAAAAAAA
Molecule: long non-coding RNA, 1011 nt
Organism: Ailuropoda melanoleuca (giant panda)
Lineage: Eukaryota; Metazoa; Chordata; Mammalia; Carnivora; Ursidae
Exons: 2
Source: RefSeq, a predicted model, not a curated record